This is a long non-coding RNA of Eriocheir sinensis (Chinese mitten crab), 1437 nucleotides long. RefSeq lists it as uncharacterized. The transcript has 2 exons. The record is from RefSeq and is a predicted model, not a curated record. NCBI's taxonomy places the organism in Eukaryota, Metazoa, Arthropoda, Malacostraca, Decapoda, Varunidae.
GUGUAUGUGUGUAGGAGGAAGGGAAUGGUGUAUGCAUGUGAUAGGAGGGAGUGUAGAAGAGAGAGGGGAAGGUGUAUUUGUGUAAGGAGGGAAGUGUAAGAGAGAUAUGGUGUGUGUGUGUGUGUGUGUGUGUGUGUUGAUGAAUAAAGGAAUAGACAUGGAGGAAAAAAAUAGAAGGAAUGUGAUAAAGAGGGGAAAGAAUAUUAAGCAAUAAUAAGAAGGAAGUGGAAGGCAAGGAGAGAUGAAGAAGAUCCAAAAAUCAAAAGAAAAUAUGAAAAAGAGAGAAAUAGGAAAUAAGAAAUUAAUAAGUGGAAAAGAAAAAGAAAGAAAAAUUAUCAAAACAAACCAGAAAUAAAAGAAAAUGCAGGAGAAUAAGACCAAAAAAAAGAAUAAAAGGAUAGACGAAAAAAUUAAAAGAAAAAUUAAAAGAAAACAAAGAAGAAAAAAAAAAUCCAGUGUGAAGAAUGUUGAAGAGAGGGAAAAAAGAAACACAAUCAUUAGCAACAUUCAUUAAGACACUAAGCAAGCACGUGUGUGUGUGUGUGUUGAUGCAGUGUUGCCAGCUCAGAGUUGUUGGGAGGAGUUAUCGACACGCCCGCCAACUGCAGGACUCCGAACUCUAGCCUAGAAGUGUGUCAUCAUGUUGGCAACACUGACGCUAUGCUUGGUAACUAUCCAUAUGUCUGUCUCACCCAAUAUGACUUUCAAGAAUGACACCAAAUAUAACAGUAAUAAUAAGAUAAUGAGAUCAUAAAAAAUGUCCCUCUACCUCUCAGUCACCGAGCUAAUAGCCCUUUGAAUAUAUGACUAAAGAAUAACACUGAAUAAAGGUAAAGAAUAACAGUAAUAAGACAAAAUAAAGUUUCUCUACCUCUCUAUCACCCUACCAAUAAGCCUCUAUUAAUAUGACUCAAGAAUAACAGCAAUACAGAUAAUGAACAAUAGUUAAAUAUAUAUAAAAAUGUCUGUCUACCUGCCUCUCCCCUUAUAUAUAUACCGUAAAAAGUCUGAGUAUCCAGCACCCAAUAGUUUGAAAAUCCUGACGGUUCGGAAUUUUCAGCCAAGGGUCAAAUUUAGGUUUUAGGUUUAAGAAUAACAGUCUGGUAAAAUUUAAAUAUACUGAAAAAUGGACUAAAGCAUUGCACUGAACUAUCAAAUGUUCAGCCAUGGGUCAAAAUUAGGUUUUAGAGUAACAAAGAAAAGUCGGGGAAAAUUUAAAAUACUGAAUAAUGGACAAAAGCUGAGAAGUGAACUAUCAAAUACGUAUGCUAUAAGCCCCUUGAGUCAAUAAAGGAAUACGGCGAACACUUCUGGUAACCUGGCAGGCCCGUGACUCCAUGCAUUUCAGAUUAUAGGACUUGAAUAGUAAAUGAAAACCCUUUGAAAAUAAAACCCAUGAGAAUAACACCAAUACAGGUAACAAUAAAUAAAUAAAUA